CAGCAGCCACGGUAAUACCGAGGGUGCGAGCGUUAAUCGGAUUUACUGGGCGUAAAGGGCGCGUAGGCGGUUUAGUGAGUGUGAUGUGAAAGCCCCGGGCUUAACCUGGGAAGUGCAUCGCAAACGACUAAACUGGAGUAUAAGAGAGGGUGGCGGAAUUUCCGGUGUAGCGGUGAAAUGCGUAGAGAUCGGAAGGAACGUCAAUGGCGAAGGCAGCCACCUGGCUUAAUACUGACGCUGAGGCGCGAAAGCGUGGGGAUCAAACAGGAUUAGAUACCCCCGUAGUCCCUGUCUCUUAUAC
This 301-nucleotide ribosomal RNA is filed under the name uncultured bacterium. RNAcentral's name for it is "partial 16S ribosomal RNA". It matches the Rfam family "Bacterial small subunit ribosomal RNA", at positions 509 to 807 of the family's 1533-position model. The record is from RNAcentral.